RNAcentral lists this ribosomal RNA (253 nucleotides) under uncultured bacterium. RNAcentral's name for it is "partial 16S ribosomal RNA". It matches the Rfam family "Bacterial small subunit ribosomal RNA", at positions 524 to 776 of the family's 1533-position model. The record is from RNAcentral.
UACAGAGGGUGCGAGCGUUAAUCGGAAUUACUGGGCGUAAAGGGUGUGUAGGUGGAAACUUAAGUCAAGUGUGAAAGCCCCAGGCUUAACCUGGGCAGUGCGCAUGAUACUGAGUUUCUCGAGUACAGUAGAGGGUAGCGGAAUUUCCGGUGUAGCGGUGAAAUGCGUAGAUAUCGGAAGGAACACCAGUGGCGAAGGCGGCUAUCUGGACUGAUACUGAUACUGAGACACGAAAGCGUGGGGAGCAAACAGG